AAAAAGACAAACUCUAGAUUUCCGUGUCCAAUAUUUGACUGUCCGUCUUAUAUGAAAUUUUUUAUAAUUAGUAUUUUUAUUAUUGUUAGAUGAUAAAACAUGAUUAAUACUUUAUACGUGACUUGUCUUUUUAAUUUUUUUUCAUUUUUUUUUAAAUAAGAUGGACGGUCAAAUGUUAAACACGGAAAUUCAGGGUUUGUCUUUUU
This 206-nucleotide microRNA precursor is filed under the name Oryza nivara. RNAcentral's name for it is "MIR812 microRNA precursor family". It matches the Rfam family "MIR812 microRNA precursor family". Lineage: Eukaryota; Viridiplantae; Streptophyta; Magnoliopsida; Poales; Poaceae. The record is from Rfam by way of RNAcentral.